CUUCCGUUCCUCUGUUAUUCUCCAGACCCCAGAAGGGAAAGUAAAGGAAACAGCUAUUUUUCAGCUUUUCUGGAGGAAUGCAAAGUUCUCUUUCCUUAAGACAAAUGAGUCUGUUCCCUGCUCCUGCCUGCCUCCCAUCUAAUCCUUUGCUUAGGGAGCGACUUUUGAAGUCAGUGAUGAUGCCAGAUUUGGAAGAAUUCUAGAGGCAUGUGUUUGGGGACCAGCGAGGAUGAGAAUCAUAUUGGAUCUGCAGACGGGCACUGGAAUAAAACUGGCCUCGUUCAACUGUUCGUGCAAUUCUUCCAGCAAUGGAGUUAUCACUUCACUUUUCAUGUGUCCAAAAGGAAACUUGGAACUGAAGUGGGCGAAUUUAAUGAAGAAGAACAAACAUUUGAGCAAACCAGGGCUUACUGCAAUACCUGGCUACCAACCUGAAGAUGAAGUUAACAUAGGAGGAUAACAAAGCCAAGAGACUUUCAUUAAAGCAGAACUGGAACUUGACAUGCUGUACCUGCUGCCACCCUAUCUUGGAAUGUCCUGAGUCAGAGAAUUCAGAUGUGAAAGAGACCUGAAUAAGAACCUUCUCCAGUGUUCCUGAGACGGCGUACUGGACUACGCUGCCCUGACUCUCUCAACAUCCUUAUAUUCACAUUGUGCUGGAAUUCCUGCUCUUCUGACAAGUUGUUAGCUACUUGCUGUGGACUCCUCUCCAUCAUGUGAAAUGCUCCCAGCCAGUAAGAUCUAGACCAAAGCCAUCUCCUCUAUAAGCACCUCGAGUACUUGGCUCCUACUUUUGGACUGAUGUGGGCCAGCUAUGAUCAGAAGCAUUGUGUUUCUAAACUGGACGCCCAUAAAAACAUCCUUUUGGACCUUAAAAGACUACUCCCCCAAAGAGAAGACAAAGCAGAGAGUAAAAUCAAAUAGCGGAAGUGAGGCAUAUACCAUGACUGCCGGGACAGUGUGACCAUUCUAAGCAAGUUCAACGCUGGAGUUUGGGAAUGAUGCAACUACAGCGGAAGGCUUCAGUGCUCCGUGGAGACAAAAGAACCAAGACAGUUAACUCAGGCUAACAAAGCAAUGCUCCUCAAACUGUGAUCUCUGAACCAGCAGCAGCACCUGGGAACUUGUUAGAAAUGCAGAUUCUCCAGCCCCAUCCAUACCUACUGAGUCAGACAUCCAGAGCCUCGUCUGCAGCACCUGAACCUGAUUUGGAUGAUGGGAUACUGGACCUUGAGUGUGAGAUGGAUGCUGUCCAGAUGAGAUAUUUGGGAGUUCAAGGAGCGGAGCAACAGGCUCCGGACGCGCAGGCUCAGCGGCCACGGCUCACGGGCCCAGCCGCUCCGCGGCAUGUGGGAUCUUCCCAGACCAGGGCACGAACCCGUGUCCCCUGCAUCGGCAGGAGGACUCUCAACCACUGCGCCACCAGUGCCGAUUAUCAGACCGAGUUUCAGCAGAAUGAAAAUUGGCCCACGUGACCUGAAUUGCCAACCUCUUCCCAACAUCCUGCAUACAACUGCAUUUCCGAUGAUGCCUGCUUAAAUUCGGUAACUACUUCCAUGUGAACGGUUCAAGAAGAAAGAAGGAAUGUUCACUCUGCUUCUCUCUCCGUUUCUUUUUUGGCCCUUAAGCAUUUUCAUUGAGUUUCUAGGAUGGGAAAAUAAUGUCUUGCCAGGAAGGGUGAAAAGAAACACUGUCAGGGUCAAGUCGCACAGCCCAGAGAUUCGAUCCAUCAGCUCCACUGAAUCCCAGAACCAACUCAUUAUCUCAGUUUAGAAGCUUGAGGUCACUGAGGCCUGGUCAGGCCUGCUUGUCCCCUUCCACACUGCCACACAGGCAUCUUCUCUGGCAGACAGGGAACAGUGGUCUUUUGUCAAGACUUUGCAGUGCAGUUGCCCUACUGCUGCCCUUGCAGGCUAGGGUACCAAGCACAUCACCCCUGAAUGGCACUACCUUGACCAAGGGAGCAACAAGUUCCAAUCUUACAGUUAAGAACCAUUAAAACAGCAUCCUCUCCACCCUCUUAACUCAUUUCCCCCACUUACUAUGAUGAUUUUUGGAAGGUUAACCUUCCACCCUUUUUUAAAAAAUUGAGGCUAAAUUCAUAUAAAAUUAACCAUUUUAAAGCAUAUAAUUAACUGGCAUUUAGUGCAUUCACAGUGUUGUGCAACCAUCACUUCUGUCUAAUUCCAAAACAUUUCUGUCAUCCCCAAAGGAGACCUUAUAUUCUUUAUUUACAUAUCUUAUAUGCUUCAUUCUCAUUCUUCUCUUGCUCCAGGCUCCUUGGCAACAGUGAAUCUGCUUUCUUGUCUCUGUGUAUGAAAUAUCCAUUCAUGAGUUGAUGUAUAUUUGGGUUAUUUUCACCUUUUGGCUAUUGUGAAUAGUGCUGCUAUGAACAUUAAUGUACAAAUAUUUGUCUGAGUACCUGUUUUCAAUUCUUUUGGGUAACACUUGGUAGUGGAAUUGCUGGGUCAUAUGGUGAUUCUGUUUAAUUUUCUGAGGAAACUGGCAAUCCAUUUUCCACAGUGGCUGCACCAUUUUAUAAUCCCCCCAGCAAUAUACAAAUGUUCUAAUUUCUCUACACCUUUGCAAACGUUUGUUAUUUUCUGUUUUUUUGUUUUUGUUUUUUCUUGAUCAUAGAUAGCCUAGUGGGUAUGAACUGGUAUGGCACUGUGAUUUUGAUUCACAUUCUCCUAAUAAUUAGUGAUGUUUGAGCUUGUUGGCCAUUUGUAUAUUUACUCGAAGAAAUACCUAUCCAAGUCCUUCGCCCAGUUUUAAAUUGGAUUGUCUGUUGUUGAGUUGUAGGAGUUUUUUUUUAAAAUAUAUUUUGGAUAUUAAUCCCUUGAUUUGCAAAUAUUUACUCCUAUUCUGUGGGCUGCCUUUUCACCGUAUUGAUAGUGUCCUUUGAUGCAUAAUUUUAAUUUUGAUGACGUCCAAUUUAUCCAUAUUUUUCUUUUGUUUCUUGUGGGUUUUGUGUCACAAAGUUAAGAAGAUUUUCCCCUAUUGUUUUCUUCUAAGAGAUGCCAGCUUUUCCAGGAAGCCUGCCCACCCUGGCCAAUCAGGAGUCAGGGUUUGUCCUGACAUCUGCUUGCCUAGACACAGAGUUCCUACAGCCACGCCCGAAUGAACUAGUCAUUGCCUGGCUCUCCUCCACUCCACCACUUUAAUCAGUAGGAUGCAGACCUGGCACCCAAGCCUGACCUUUUUGAACUACAGACUUCAUGUAGUCCCUGUGGUCUGAGGGCGUUUGCUGUGAGGGAGCAUGUAGGGUGGCAGGUGAUUAUAUUCUUGAUUAAUCUUGGUUUUGUUCGCCAUUGUGUCCCUAGAGCAUAGCCCAGACCUAGCUCAGGUAGUCAGUAGACAGUUGUGGAAUGAACAGGAAGGGGAAAGGUAGAAUCUGAGAACUUGGGAGUGGAGUAUGUUCUCAGAUGUUAUUCCCUCCUGGCAUGGUGACCAAGGGCAAAUGCUGUGCCUAUGCUCUUGCUGAAAGAGCACAGUGCUGGGAACAGAGGUGGCCAUCCACAGAUACACUACAGGCUGAGAAAGGUGGGUAUUAACACCUUCCUGUAGGUCAAACAUUUUUUUUUUUAACUCCAUGACAUUCUAUUUGAAAAAACUGAUUUGAUUUUCAAUAUAUCUGAUUUUAUGUAACCAUAUGUGCGCACCAUCACCAUAGCAUGUUACUUUCCUAUUGGGUUGAUUUAAGACUUUCUUUUAGUCAUUCCUGGUGUUUGUCCUUGCCUUUGCGCUGAUUCUUUGGGUGUAAUGUCUAGGAGAAUCAUGUACCUAACCCAGGGCAUAAGCAGAGUUGGAUAAUAAAGGAUAAUACAAAAUAACAGUAAUUGGAUAAUAAAAUGUGAACAGAGUGAUUAUGAGAUGUCUAUUACUUAGGUUUAGGUUCAGACAUUUAAUGAAAGGAGCCAAUAAUACGAAAAGAAGGGAGAUGCCGGUGAGAGCUAGACCCUUUCCCAUCUCUGUGAGCAGCUGAGCCCAAACUGUGCCCACUACCCUGCCUAAUAUUGUUCACCGGCAGCAUGGGAUGUCCUUUCUUCCUCCUUGGGUGGCAUCAGCAUCUGUUUCAGUUUUCAAGGACUGCAUAUGA
Molecule: RNA transcript, 4099 nt
Organism: Globicephala melas (long-finned pilot whale)
Lineage: Eukaryota; Metazoa; Chordata; Mammalia; Artiodactyla; Delphinidae
Gene: MTERF1
Gene name: mitochondrial transcription termination factor 1
Source: RefSeq, a predicted model, not a curated record